This 860-nucleotide long non-coding RNA is filed under the name Bemisia tabaci. Its description in RNAcentral is "lncRNA ENSSSA1UGG009552". The record is from RNAcentral. Lineage: Eukaryota; Metazoa; Arthropoda; Insecta; Hemiptera; Aleyrodidae.
AUGCAGCACAUAUAUUUGGAGCCCAAUAAAAAGCUCCUAGAUCCUACAUUCAGUGGGUACAAACUUUCCCUGGAACCUGUACCUGUACAUGAAUCUGCACUGCCAGUUGAAGUGGAGCACAUUCUUCCUAACGAUGACCAGUACUCUUUUCUUCACAUGCGGUUGUUCAGUUUGCACAAUCAUCUUUUAUUGACCAAUGGAAUAAUCAGUACGUAUAUUUCUUCAACAAACACAGGGAAGUGGUCUGCAGUGUUCUGAACAAAAUAUCCGGCAAUCUUACUGGUGUUGUCAAAGUAUAUCAAUUCCUGGAUACCAUGCCAUCUAAACCAUUGGUAAAUCCUUCGCUCAGCUUUGUUUCUGAAGAACUUGCUGUUGCAUCAGAUGGCUGCAAAAAAUUGUAUCUUCUGCACACUGGCCUCCGUGAAUCAGAUGCUCAAAGUUGGAAUGUAAGAAUGGAUCUCUCCCCUAUUCUAAUCUUAUGAUUUUAAUUCUAUUUCUGUCUUUUGAAUUCAAUGGACCACAAGACAGCAAGAAUUAGAUCUCUGUAAUGUCUUUCUGAGAGGAAGUGAGGAAGCAUGUCUGCUUUCUCACAAAAAUUUCACUCAGAAUAUGUUGAACAUUUUGAAAACUUCCAAAAUAAACUCAUGAAUGAGAAAUUAACGUCAGUAGUUUACAUUCUAAAAGAAAAUGUAAACUAUCUGCUAGCCGAAAAAUGGUAAUAAAUGUAAGUCAAAUCAGCCGUUGAAAACAAUCUGUAUGUGAGAAGGAGGUAGUCUUUCUCACCUUUUUUUCUUUCUCUGAGAUACAAGGCAUCUCUAAUCUUGUCCAUAAAAAGUCAGCACAGAUUAGGAAAAUUCAUC